GGAGGUGGUCACGUUGUCCCGGCAGUAUGGAGGUUGUCCCGGCAGGAUGGAGGUGGUCACGUUGUCCCGGCAGUAUGGAGGUUGUCCCGGCAGGAUGGAGGUGGUCACGUUGUCCCGGCAGGAUGGAGGUGGUCACGUUGUCCCGGCAGGAUGGAGGUGGUCACGUUGUCCCGGCAGUAUGGAGGUGGUCACGUUGUCCCGGCAGUAUGGAGGUGGUCACGUUGUCCCGGCAGGAUGGAGGUGGUCACGUUGUCCCGGCAGGAUGGAGGUGGUCACGUUGUCCCGGCAGUAUGGAGGUGGGUGUCCCGGCAGUAUGGAGGUGGUCACGUUGUCCCGGCAGUAUGGAGGUGGUCACGUUGUCCCGGCAGUAUCGGCCUUUAGUGACGUAGAGAAGUCUCAGAUCUUUGAGUUCAGCUCAGGAACAAACGGGGCAAAAACUAAACAGUUUACUAUUUAGGUCGGUGUGACAAGUUCUAGUUUUUUUGACACUUUUUAUCCAAGUUUUUUUUUGCUUUAACUCCAUUUCAUUUUCAAAGGGUUGG
Molecule: long non-coding RNA, 542 nt
Organism: Perca flavescens (yellow perch)
Lineage: Eukaryota; Metazoa; Chordata; Actinopteri; Perciformes; Percidae
Exons: 3
Source: RefSeq, a predicted model, not a curated record